RNAcentral lists this transfer RNA (85 nucleotides) under Gammaproteobacteria bacterium. Its description in RNAcentral is "tRNA-Leu". It matches the Rfam family "tRNA". Rfam says of the family: Transfer RNA (tRNA) molecules are approximately 80 nucleotides in length. Their secondary structure includes four short double-helical elements and three loops (D, anti-codon, and T loops). Lineage: Bacteria; Pseudomonadati; Pseudomonadota; Gammaproteobacteria. The record is from RNAcentral.
GCGAAAGUGGCGGAGUUGGUAGACGCGCUGGAUUUAGGUUCCAGUCCCGUAAGGGGUGGGAGUUCGAGUCUCCCCUUUCGCACCA